UACAGAGGUCCCAAGCGUUGUUCGGAUUUACUGGGCGUAAAGGGUGCGUAGGUGGUCGGUUAAGUCUGGCGUGAAAUCUUCGAGCCUAACUCGAAAACUGCGCUGGAAACUGCCCGGCUAGAGGAGUGGAGGGGAGACUGGAAUACUUGGUGUAGCAGUGAAAUGCGUAGAUAUCAAGUGGAACACCAGUGGCGAAGGCGAGUCUCUGGACAUUUCCUGACACUGAAGCACGAAAGCCAGGGGAGCAAACGGG
RNAcentral lists this ribosomal RNA (253 nucleotides) under uncultured bacterium. Its description in RNAcentral is "partial 16S ribosomal RNA". It matches the Rfam family "Bacterial small subunit ribosomal RNA", at positions 524 to 776 of the family's 1533-position model. The record is from RNAcentral.